This 199-nucleotide long non-coding RNA is filed under the name Ananas comosus (pineapple). Its description in RNAcentral is "long non-coding RNA (ACOM_LNC021261)". The record is from RNAcentral. Lineage: Eukaryota; Viridiplantae; Streptophyta; Magnoliopsida; Poales; Bromeliaceae.
AGUGGCCACCCGAGUCGGGCUUUACAUUUUGUUAGUAGUAUACCCUUCUAUCAUCUUUUGUAUUUGAUGAUUUAAGAUGAUGAUGUAUAAAGCAAAUGAGAAAAAGAAUGUAAUGUUUAUUUUGAGCAAAUGUGAUGUAAAAGAAAUGAUGCGAGCAAUGUAAAGAAUCAUGAAUAUGAAGAUUAAACGCAAUGUAUGU